RNAcentral lists this long non-coding RNA (1073 nucleotides) under Oryctolagus cuniculus (rabbit). RNAcentral describes it as "lncRNA (ENSOCUG00000037924.1)". Lineage: Eukaryota; Metazoa; Chordata; Mammalia; Lagomorpha; Leporidae. The record is from RNAcentral.
CAGCAGAGUUGUUUGCCAAAGAGUGACUAUCAAGGCCUUGACUAAUGUUCUAAGGAGGGCACAAUGUUCCACUCCCAAAACAAUGUAACCCAGUGGUUUUCAGCAAGGAAACUGAUAAAUUUCCCAAAGGAAUUCCUUACUGUCAGUAAGACCUCUGAAAAUUCACUAGUGAGAAUAAAUGCCACGAAAUCUAACAUUAGUAUUCUGAACUGAAUUUGCUUAUGCCAGACCUCUAAACAAUAAAUUGUGUUCUGCUGUGUUGCUAUGCCCGUUCAUGAGGCAAGCCAUUUUAAAGUAAAGCAUCUUGGAGAUUCCAUAAGAGCAGAAUGUGGAAGGGGUGUACUGCUUUAGGCUAGGGGAAAACAGCAAAAAAAAAAAAAAAAUAGUGGAUGAAGUAUAUUCUUAGGGGAGACUUGGAGAGCAAACUACAGGAAGUGCUGAGGAAGGAAGAAGGACACCGUGGAUCAUGGUGGAAGGCCCACGUGGACGCAAAGCAGCAAGCACAGACACAGCACAUGACCCCAGGAGCCGAGAGCGGGAGACUGCACCAGCUUUGGAGAGUGAGCUGUCGGACACAUUGCUGGGGAAAGCCAGACAUGAGCCUCCUUCAGCACCGGACACAGCCUAGGAUCCUGCUGGGCUCAGGACCUCCCCUCCCAUCUCUAGUCCCACGAGGAAUGUUUGUUCCCGUUCUCUGCUGGGGGAGUUUUUUCAUGGCGGGGCCUCAUCCUCGACGAAGCUGUGGGACUCAGAGCCAGGCUCUGUGUGGCCCGACGAUCCUGCUGACCCCGGCCUCCUGUAGACCAUGGGCCGCCAUACCCCUGGCCGCAUUUCCAGCUUUUCAAGUGGGAAGAAACCACCCUGCGUCCCAGGACUUGCACUUCUGUGGGCCAUCCUCAGCAAGACAUUUUCAUGGAUAUGAAACUGGACACCGAGUUGACGCUGCAGUUCAGCUGCUGGGUAAUCUUCCAUUUCUGGAACCUCCUUGGCUUCCUGGUAAAACCCAGCUGUGCCUUCACCCUGGACAGGAGCAACUGGGCACGGAUGUGAAACUAACCCAGAGUGGACGGUGA